GAUGAAGAACGUAGCGAAACGCGAUAAGUAAUGUGAAUUGCAGAAUUCAGUGAAUCAUCGAGUCUUUGAACGCACAUUGCGCCCCCUGGUAUUCCGGGGGGCAUGCCUGUCCGAGCGUCAUUGCUGCCCUCAAGCCCGGCUUGUGUGUUGGGUCUCGUCCCCCUUCCCGGGGGGACGGGCCCGAAAGGCAGCGGCGGCACCGCGUCCGGUCCUCGAGCGUAUGGGGCUUUGUCACCCGCUCUGUAGGCCCGGCCGGCGCUUGCCGAUCAACCAAAACUUUUUUCCAGGUUGACCUCGGAUCAGGUAGGGAUACCCGCUGAACUUAAGCAUAUCAAUAAGCGGAGGA
Molecule: unclassified non-coding RNA, 346 nt
Filed under: soil metagenome
Description: partial contains 5.8S ribosomal RNA, internal transcribed spacer 2, and large subunit ribosomal RNA
Rfam family: 5.8S ribosomal RNA (bases 1-120)
Source: RNAcentral